GAGUCUCCAGAGGCACUGCAGAAUGUCUAAGAAGCAACCUCAUUGUAUUCCCAAGACCUGGGAAUCCAGGUCUCGCAGAUAUGAUGAUACAAUCUAUAGCCAGUACAUCUCUUCAUGUGUAGUUUUCAAUGAAUACUAGGAUAAGCAACUAUCCCAGUCUUCCCAGGAUUGAGGGGCUUCUCCAGAUGCUGCACUUCCAGUGCUAAAAAUGAGAAACUGAAAUGAAUUAGUCACCCAAGGAAUGCUGACCCUGUGCUAUAUGAUCACAUUUACUCUUUAAAGCAAUGCUUUGAGGCCAAGCUAUAAAUAAAGGGUGGACUGACCUUGUCAACUGUUAAAUUGGAGCCAUGGUGCGUUACUUAGAACAUUGCGGAUGACCCCAAGCAGCACAGCAGACCAACGGCUGAGAAAGAGCUCAUUCGGCUCAUCUAACUAGGAUGCCGUCCUGCCAGAGCCCUGGGAGUUCUCAUCUCCUGGGGCAAGAGCAGCAUGCAACCCUUAUGAACCCAUCUUGAAGGGCAUUCGGGGAGCCCAAGACAAGACCAUUGGGAGCCUCAGGGUCACUUUGGGGGGUCUCUG
Molecule: long non-coding RNA, 579 nt
Filed under: Pongo abelii (Sumatran orangutan)
Lineage: Eukaryota; Metazoa; Chordata; Mammalia; Primates; Hominidae
Description: lincRNA
Source: RNAcentral